Molecule: long non-coding RNA, 817 nt
Organism: Ostrea edulis (European flat oyster)
Lineage: Eukaryota; Metazoa; Mollusca; Bivalvia; Ostreida; Ostreidae
Exons: 2
Source: RefSeq, a predicted model, not a curated record
CUUACAGACAAUCGCUGGACAAAAUAGGAGCGAUAAAGGUCAUAGGUGAGGUGUAAAAAACAAACAAAAUAUAAUAUUGAGAUUGACUUGGCAAGAAAAAAGCUGUGCGGGACAUCCCUGGGCCAGCUCUAAAUCCAGUAGAACAACAUCUCAAAGUACAAAGGUAAUGGCUGUAGGUUAGCGAGUGCCACGGGGCUGUCGCUUGUGUACGUGAACAGAAACAGUCAAGUGACAGCAGUGUGAAGUAGUCUAGAUAAUGGUCAAGAUAUGGGAACCGGUAGACCCCUCCUAGUGUACCAUAUCCCAGAGCAGACGAUAGUGCGCGAAAAGCAGAGCACGCGCGGACGACGGUCCAUGUACUUUUGUUUGUUCAUCAUCAAUGUUUUGUGUGUUGUCGUGCUAUGGAACAUUUACAAAUUCAAUAUGUACCUGAACAUUGUCAUUGCUGUAACGAAUAAUUUCAAGGUCGAUAUGGAAAAGCUUGGGGAUCUACAUCCGAUGUUUUGGGAUAAAAUCCGAGGACGGGUAACGUGUUCAGUAGGGCCCACCAAUUUGCAUCAAGAUCAACCUCAAGGCCGAUGUGGAACAUCUCGGGAAUCUUCAUCCCACUUCACUGGAUAAAAUUCGAGCACGAGCGUGUUUGGGCUCUCUACCCAGUUCCGUGCGCUACUCACAUUACAUGUAUAAGCUUUGCGUAACGCGCCCUCUGGUGAAAGAAUGGUUUUGGGCUCUCUUUUGAACUCUCUUACAUACAUAUUAUGCGUGGUACUGUUUCAUGAGCUCAGAAAAGAUAUAAUAAAAUCUUCUUCAUGUUUUA